UACGUAGGGGGCUAGCGUUGUCCGGAUUUAUUGGGCGUAAAGAGCGUGUAGGCGGCCAUGUAGGUCCGGUGUGAAAACUCGAGGCUUAACCUCGAGAUGUCAUCGGAAACCAUUUGGCUAGAGUCCGGAAGAGGAGAGUGGAAUUCCUGGUGUAGCGGUGAAAUGCGCAGAUAUCAGGAGGAACACCGGUGGCGAAGGCGGAUCUCUGGGCCAUUACUGACGCUGAGGAGCGAAAGCGUGGGGAGCGAACAGG
Molecule: ribosomal RNA, 253 nt
Filed under: uncultured bacterium
Lineage: Bacteria
Description: partial 16S ribosomal RNA
Rfam family: Bacterial small subunit ribosomal RNA
Source: RNAcentral